UCACUUAGCGAAACCGAGUCGAAAAGGCA
Molecule: non-coding RNA, 29 nt
Filed under: Mus musculus (house mouse)
Lineage: Eukaryota; Metazoa; Chordata; Mammalia; Rodentia; Muridae
Source: RNAcentral